This 388-nucleotide ribosomal RNA is filed under the name uncultured bacterium. RNAcentral's name for it is "bacterial SSU rRNA". It matches the Rfam family "Bacterial small subunit ribosomal RNA", at positions 28 to 417 of the family's 1533-position model. The record is from RNAcentral.
GACGAACGCUGGCGGCGUGCUUAACACAUGCAAGUCGAGCGGUAAGGCCCUUUCGGGGGUACACGAGCGGCGAACGGGUGAGUAAUACGUGGGUGACCUGCCCUCAGCUCUGGGAUAAGCCUGGGAAACUGGGUCUAAUACUGGAUAUGACUCCACGGUGCAUGUCGUGGGGUGGAAAGCCUUGUGCGGCUGAGGAUGGGCCCGCGGCCUAUCAGCUUGUUGGUGGGGUGANGGCCUACCAAGGCGACGACGGGUAGCCGGCCUGAGAGGGCGACCGGCCACACUGGGACUGAGACACGGCCCAGACUCCUACGGGAGGCAGCAGUGGGGAAUCUUGCGCAAUGGGCGAAAGCCUGACGCAGCGACGCCGCGUGAGGGAUGACGGCCU